This 2951-nucleotide long non-coding RNA is filed under the name Equus caballus (horse). Its description in RNAcentral is "lncRNA (ENSECAG00000044650.1)". The record is from RNAcentral. Lineage: Eukaryota; Metazoa; Chordata; Mammalia; Perissodactyla; Equidae.
GUCCGGCCUGUUUUUCUUUCGUAACAAAAAGGUAGGUUUGGUCCCCGCAUCCCAGUCUGGGCUGCGGAGAUUGCCCCUUACCUCUGCUGGGCCGGGCCUGAGAGAAUGAGGGAAUAUUGUCUUGGGGAGGAGAGCGGGACCACCACGUGGGCGCCGCAGACGCACCCGCACCUCCUGACCCCCAAAGUGAGAAAAAUAAUCACAAUUACAAACCCCCCCCCCCCCAAAACACAAAAAUAAAACCCGUAGUCUUUCCCUCUGCGUACCACCGCGUUGGGCUCUGGGCUUCAGAGCGUCAGGCCUGGUGUGGGGGAAGGGGAGAUUGGAGUGGGGGAUGAGAGACAGCUCAGUCCCACCCCCACUCUUCCCCUUUCUUCCAAACCCUCCCCCACCCGGCUCAGCAAGGAGGGGCGGGGGCGCUAGGCCGAGAGGAGCGGCCCAGGCCCACUCCUUCUGUUUGAGGAGGGGGCGGCGGCUCGCGCACCUCCUCCCGCCCACAUUUGCCCUCCGCCGCCAAUCACCCUUAUUAAUUCGCGCUGGGAAAGGAUCACACACUGGAAGUUCGUCAACGGAUGCCUGGAAAAGUCUGGAGGACACGGAUGUGGACAGUAAGGGAGAAGGGUUGGGACUUUCGGGGUGGGGUGGGUGCUGGGCGCUAGUCAUGGCCACCUGAGCUGCGCUCUUGCCCAUUUCCAUCUUCUCAGACCAGUGUGCCCCUCCCCUCCCCUAACGACCCCUCUCCACUUGUGAGCUGACCCACACCUAUCCAGGCUGGACCUUGGCUGAGGCACGGCUCCCAAACUCUGGGGGGAGACAAGUCCUCCCCAGCCCAAAUUCUGGGUGGAACGUGCCUCAGAACUAGUAGGAGGGGCAAGCUCAGCCCCACUCCCAAGCACCAGCCAACCCAAAGGAACGCUGGCUGCCUCAGUUGCUGUCCACAGGAAAGGAGGGGCGCGGAUAGUGGUUCUUUGGCUGUCUGAGGCACAGGAGGAUCCAGAUGGAGGCACUGUUCCUGGAAACACCUUAAUGAACCUUCUAGAGCUUUCGGAGGACAAGGGGAGCAGCCGUGAUCUGAGGCCCUGAGUCUUGGGUAACACAAUAAUAAUGAUGAGGAAAUUGAGGCACAGCAAGAGUGAGUAACUUGCUAAAAGCUAGAAUUGGAACUCAGGCCAGUUUGUCCUCUUAACUCCAUGGAGUUGUGUUACCUGGCGAAGUACCACUCUGCAAGGGCAAGAGGAAGUGCUGAGCAGGCAGAGAGGACCCCAGGAGAGGAAUGCCCUCUAUGGAAAUGGUGGUAAGAUGUGUGCCGUCUGACUCAGUGCUCAUUACACUACUCUACGGCUUGGUGCUGGGCUGAGAGAAGGGGAUGUUGAUUCCAGAGUCUGGGGCUCCAUUUGGGGAACUGCUGAUCCUCAGGCAUCCAGACAGUUGUGGGAAAGAUACCUUUCAUCCUCUCCGUCCUCGAGAACUUCAGCAAGAUCUUGAUGCCCCCUGGUCCCCAGACUCCUCUGCACAUCUGGACACAGGCUCCAGGGAACAUUCCAGAAGACCUGCCUUCAUUUACUGUCUCACGUUGAGAAGGAUUCUGGGGAGACUUUGGGAGACCCCCAAGGAAAUGACUAUUGUGGAAGAACUGCCUUGUUUUCCCUUUGGGGGGCCCUUUGUCCCCAGCCUGGUGUAGGGGUGUCUCUGUGUCAGGGGCUCUGUGAGGAGGGUAGCCCCUGACCAGGGUCACAUCGACACCUAGACAGACAUCUCAGGUCUGGAGAAAUUAAGGGAAGAAGGAAGGGAUUGAGGUGGUGGAGCAAGUGGACCAGCAGGUGACCUUUGCCCUCUGCCCUCCCCUCAAACCCUGCAGGAGCCCCUGGCUGCUCCAGCAAGGGGCGGGGGUGGGGGGACUCCAUCUGGGUGGGGCCGGUGGAAUCUGGCGGACCUCCUGGGGGCUGCCCUGGGGAUGGACGCCCAGCAGCGUUGGGAACAGACUGAGUCAGAUCCGGAGAGCGGCACAGGGCGGCCCAGCUGAGAUCACGGCCUGGUGGCUGGAGGUGGCCUCCCAGCUCGAGUCCUCCACCCCCAGCUGGUGUCCAUCCAGAGAGCCCUCCGACACGCACCAGGCGCCUUCCCGGCGUCAGUGUAGCACUCCUGGGACGCAAGAUGCUCAGAGCCAAGACCAGGCCGUGACUGGGCUCCAAUCUCCACCCUUCCCGUGUGCCCAAAUUGACGGAGGCGUGACCCUGCCCUCACGGAGCCCCCAGUCUGAGAGAAGAUGAGAAGAUGGAGACGCACUUAAAGAACACAAAGAUGAAGGGGUCUGCCCAGUGGCAUAGCAGUAAAGUUCACGUACUCUGCUUUGGCGGCCCAGGGUUCGUGGGUUCGGAUCCCGGGCAUGGACCUAGCACUGCUGGUCAAGCCACACUGUAGAGGCAUCCCACAUGAAACAGAGGAAGACUGGCACAGAUGUUAGCUCAGGGCCAUUCUUCCUCACCAAAAAAACCCUCAAACCCCCCACAAAGAUGAAGGUCAAAAGGAAACCCCCCAGUGGACCAGGUCAGGGAGAGACGCACUGUGCCCAAGAGCCUAGGGCAGGCACUGUCCUGACACGAAGCGGCCAUGGGUGCCCGUGUGGGUCAGCUCGCUCGUGGCUCCUUCGUCCAGAAGCCCGGCCUCUGACCCCCUUGUACCCACAGUGCACUGAGGCUGGGAGUUGUGCAAGGGUCAGCAGGCAGGGUGGCGGGCUGGCUGGGGAGGGGAGAUUCCUGUCUCCUGCCCCAGCUCCCUGAGGCCUUCCCUCCCGCAGCCUUGGCCUCGGUGCGCAGCAAGCUGUUGGAGCUUGUUUGGCCUAAGGGUUCGCACCCUGCCUCCUCCCCCUCGCCUUCCUGCUCAAGAACAGCAGCCAGAGGCCUGAGACGGAGGAAAGCCAGGGGCUGGUGGUGGGCCGGGGCACUGCUGAG